UCCCAUAACCUUCCAGUGACUCCCAUGGC
Molecule: non-coding RNA, 29 nt
Filed under: Mus musculus (house mouse)
Lineage: Eukaryota; Metazoa; Chordata; Mammalia; Rodentia; Muridae
Source: RNAcentral